ACGGCUCAGUAACACGUGGUCAAUCUACCCUAUGGUGGAGGAUAUCCCCGGGAAACUGGGACUAAUACUCCAUAGAUUAGGUGAAUUGGAAUUAUCACUUAAUUGAAAGAUCCGUCGCCAUAGGAUGAGACUGCGUCCGAUUAGGUUGUUGUUGGGGUAUGUGCCCACCAAGCCUAUAAUCGGUACGGGUUGUGGGAGCAAGAGCCCGGAGAUGGACUCUGAGACACGAGUCCAGGCCCUACGGGGCGCAGCAGGCGCGAAACCUUUACAAUGCGGGCAACCGUGAUAAGGAAACCCCGAGUGGAUGAACAGUCAUCCUGUCCACCAGUUUAGAACACUGGUGAAGAAAGGGCCGGGCAAGACCGGUGCCAGCCGCCGCGGUAAUACCGGCGGCUCGAGUGGUGGCCACUAUUACUGGGCUUAAAGGGUCCGUAGCUUGCAUGAUCAGCUUCUUGAGAAAUCCACUGGCUUAACCAAUGGUCGUUCAGGAGGUACUGUCAUGCUAGGGACCGGGAGAGGUAAGGGGUACUGCCGGGGUAGGAGUGAAGUCCUGUAAUCCUGGUGGGACCACCGGUGGCGAAGGCGCCUUACCAGAACGGCUCCGACAGUGAGGGACGAAAGCUGGGGGAGCGAACCGGAUUAGAUACCCGGGUAGUCCCAGCCGUAAACGAUGCGCGUUAGGUGUGUCAGUGACCACGUGUCACUGAGGUGCCGAAGGGAAACCGUGAAACGCGCCGCCUGGGAAGUACGGUCGCAAGGCUGAAACUUAAAGGAAUUGGCGGGGGAG
Molecule: ribosomal RNA, 787 nt
Filed under: uncultured euryarchaeote
Lineage: Archaea; Methanobacteriati; Methanobacteriota
Description: bacterial SSU rRNA
Rfam family: Archaeal small subunit ribosomal RNA
Source: RNAcentral